AACUUUCAACAACGGAUCUCUUGGUUCUGGCAUCGAUGAAGAACGCAGCGAAAUGCGAUAAGUAAUGUGAAUUGCAGAAUUCAGUGAAUCAUCGAAUCUUUGAACGCACAUUGCGCCCUGUGGUAUUCCGCAGGGCAUGCCUGUUCGAGCGUCAU
RNAcentral lists this ribosomal RNA (155 nucleotides) under ascomycete sp. WRCF-A3. RNAcentral describes it as "5.8S ribosomal RNA". It matches the Rfam family "5.8S ribosomal RNA". Rfam says of the family: 5.8S ribosomal RNA (5.8S rRNA) is a component of the large subunit of the eukaryotic ribosome. The record is from RNAcentral. RNAcentral also lists the same sequence under 1 other name. Lineage: Eukaryota; Fungi; Ascomycota.